This 254-nucleotide ribosomal RNA is filed under the name uncultured bacterium. RNAcentral's name for it is "partial 16S ribosomal RNA". It matches the Rfam family "Bacterial small subunit ribosomal RNA", at positions 82 to 334 of the family's 1533-position model. The record is from RNAcentral.
CUGGGCUGGAUGAGUGGCGAACGGGUGAGUAACACGUGAGUAACCUGCCCUCUUCUUUGGGAUAACGGUCGGAAACGGCUGCUAAUACCGGGUAUUCACUGUCCUUCGCAUGGGGGGUGGUGGAAAGGUUUUUUCUGGUGGGGGAUGGGCUCGCGGCCUAUCAGCUUGUUGGUGGGGUGAUGGCUUACCAAGGCUUUGACGGGUAACCGGCCUGAGAGGGUGACCGGUCACAUUGGGACUGAGAUACGGCCCAG